RNAcentral lists this transfer RNA (58 nucleotides) under Capitulum mitella. RNAcentral's name for it is "tRNA-Arg". Lineage: Eukaryota; Metazoa; Arthropoda; Thecostraca; Pollicipedomorpha; Pollicipedidae. The record is from RNAcentral.
UGGACAAAAAGCGAAUUAUUGCUCUCGGUUUCGACCCGACCUUUGGUCCAUCGACCUU